CAUCGGGCUUGCCUCCUUCAUAUGGGCCUAAGUUCAGAAAUUUUGAAUGAUCAAUGGCUUGUUACCAUCAAACACUAAAACAAGAUAAAGCGAAAAGCCUACCAUCUAAUAUAUAUUCUUUAGACUGUUCUCACCAAAACACCAUCAAUGAAGCAAAAACAGUGAACCAGUGCAAACAAAUAGCAUUUAUUACAUACCAACUAACUGCUAAAAGAGAGAAGCUAGAAUCCUUCAUACUUC
Molecule: unclassified non-coding RNA, 240 nt
Filed under: Hevea brasiliensis (rubber tree)
Lineage: Eukaryota; Viridiplantae; Streptophyta; Magnoliopsida; Malpighiales; Euphorbiaceae
Source: RNAcentral